ACGAAUAAAUCAUAACUGCAACUCGAAUUAUUAUUACGAUGUAUAAACGCACAAACGAACAAACGAUCGAGCCGCGUCAUUUAGAUCAGGUGCAUUUGCAAUUCACGUAUACGGUAAAAAUAGCGUACUCCUCCAUAGCUUUUACCUCCAAGGAAUGCGUGAAGAUGCGCCAAUGAUAAUUGAUGAGCGACAAUAGGACCCAAGCGAAAUUGCAGCCCCGCGAAAUCUUACGUUUUUAUUUUUGAGGACCACAAGAAAUAUUUUAAUGUAACCGCCGAUUGAAAGC
Molecule: long non-coding RNA, 286 nt
Organism: Wasmannia auropunctata (little fire ant)
Lineage: Eukaryota; Metazoa; Arthropoda; Insecta; Hymenoptera; Formicidae
Exons: 3
Source: RefSeq, a predicted model, not a curated record